Molecule: ribosomal RNA, 406 nt
Filed under: uncultured bacterium
Lineage: Bacteria
Description: partial 16S ribosomal RNA
Rfam family: Bacterial small subunit ribosomal RNA
Source: RNAcentral
AUUGAACGCUGGCGGCAGGCCUAACACAUGCAAGUCGAGCGAGCGGCGGACGGGUGAGUAAUGUCUGGGAAAGUGCCUGAUGGAGGGGGAUAACUACUGGAAACGGUAGCUAAUACCGCAUACCAUCAGAUGUGCCCAGAUGGGAUUAGCUAGGAGGUGGGGUAAUGGCUCACCUAGGCGACGAUCCCUAGCUGGUCUGAGAGGAUGACCAGCCACACUGGAACUGAGACACGGGCCAGGCUCCUACGGUAGGCAGCAGUGGGGAAGAUUGCCCAAUGGGCGCAAGCCUGAUGCAGCCAUGCCGGGUGUAUGAAGAAGGCCUUCGGGUUGUAAAGCACGUUCAGCGGGGAGGCGUUACUCGCAGAAGAAGCACCGGCUAACUCCGUGCCAGCAGCCGCGGUAAUUC